UGUUAUCAUACUGGAAAUUCACUCUUUGAGUGCUGGAGCAAUUCAUCCCAUGCAGCACUGAAAGGAUAUAUCUGUUCCUGUGUAACUGAGGAAAGAGCUAGACUAUAAGUCUACUCUUAAACUCUCUAUGCUUAUAGCAAAUAGGGUGGGCAUAUUUCAUGGUUCAUAUCUAAAAAACAUAUUUAACCCCUUAAGGACCGGACUGUUUUUGCGAUGUUGUACAUUUGCGACCAGGCAUAUUUUUACACUUUUGUGGUGUUUGUGUUGUAAUUUUCCGCUCUCUCAUUUACUGUUCCCAUACAAAUUAUAUAUUGUUUUUUUCAGGACAAAAGGGGCUUUCUUUA
Pelobates cultripes (western spadefoot toad) is the source of this 344-nucleotide non-coding RNA. The record is from the annotation of a GenBank genome assembly. NCBI's taxonomy places the organism in Eukaryota, Metazoa, Chordata, Amphibia, Anura, Pelobatidae.